Molecule: ribosomal RNA, 510 nt
Filed under: uncultured Archaeospora
Lineage: Eukaryota; Fungi; Glomeromycota; Glomeromycetes; Archaeosporales; Archaeosporaceae
Description: SSU rRNA
Rfam family: Eukaryotic small subunit ribosomal RNA
Source: RNAcentral
AGCAGCCGCGGUAAUUCCAGCUCCAAUAGCGUAUAUUAAAGUUGUUGCAGUUAAAAAGCUCGUAGUUGAAUUUUAGGCCUGGCCGGGCGGUCCGUCUUUGGCGAGUACUGUUCUGUGUCGGGUCUUACCUUCUGGUGAACCGGCAUGUUCUUUAUUGAGUGUACCGGGGAGCCAGGACCAUUACCUUGAAAAAUUAGAGUGUUUAAAGCAGGCAUUUGCUUGAAUAGAUUAGCAUGGAAUAAUAGAAUAGGACGUUGGUUCUAUUUUGUUGGUCUAGGACCACCGUAAUGAUUAAUAGGGAUAGUUGGGGGCAUUAGUAUUCAAUUGUCAGAGGUGAAAUUCUUGGAUUUAUUGAAGACUAACUAUUGCGAAAGCAUUUGCCAAGGAUGUUUUCAUUAAUCAAGAACGAAAGUUAGGGGAUCGAAGACGAUCAGAUACCGUCGUAGUCUUAACCAUAAACUAUGCCGACUAGGAAUCGGGCGACGUUAUUUUUAUGACUCGCUCGGCGCC